RNAcentral lists this long non-coding RNA (7404 nucleotides) under Homo sapiens (human). RNAcentral's name for it is "HSALNT0336200". The record is from RNAcentral. Lineage: Eukaryota; Metazoa; Chordata; Mammalia; Primates; Hominidae.
AAUACAGGGUUUUACUCUUAACACCCAGUUUGGAGUGCAGUGGCAUGAUCACAGCUCACUGCAACCUCUGUCUCCCGGGUUCAAGGGAUUCUCUUGCCCUCAGCCUCUUGAGUAGCUGGGAUUACAGGUGCCUGCCAUCAUGCCCAGCUAAUUUUUGUAUUUAAGUAGAGAUGGGGUUUCACCAUGUUGGCCAGGCUGGUCUCAAACUCCUGACCUCUGGUGAUCCACUUGCCUCGGCCUCCUAAAGUGCUGGGAUCACAGGCAGGAGCCAUCAUCCCUGGCCAGGAAGUUUCUUUUUUCAAACUUGUAUUUUUCCUCUCCAGAAUCUCUUAGGAUUUUUUACUUUUUUUGUUUUCCUCAUUUUUCUUUAAUACAGUUGCCAUCUUACAUAAUGUACUAUUAAGUGCCUUCUUAAUAGCUUCUAAUCUACCCUUCUGUUACACUGGGUGGCAUCCUGGGAUGGAACUCUUGUUACCACUCAUGUUUGUGGAGUACUGUUCUUUAGUACGGUACAUCUGACUCAUAUGGUCAGGCCAUAUAAUUCAUGGGUAGUGGUAUUAAUUUCUAUAACUGAAUUAAUGCACACAUCCAAACCAUAUAUAUUUCUUUCUUUUUCUUUCUUUUUUUUUUUUUUUUUUUUUGAGACGGAGUCUUGCUCUGUCGCCCAGGCUGGAGUGCAGUGGCGCAAUCUUGGCUCACUGCAGCCUCCGCCUCCCAGGUUCAAGUGAUUCUCCUGCCUCAGCCUCCCGACUAGCUGGGAUUACAGGCAUGCACUACCACACCUGGCUAAUUUUUGUGUUUUUAGUAGAGAUGGGGUUUCACCAUGUUGGCCAGCCUGGUCUCGAACUUCUGACCUCAGGUGAUCCACCCGUCUUGGCCUCCCAAAGUGUUGGGAUUACAGGUGUGCGCCACUGCGCCCUGCCUAUAUAUUUUUCAACUUAGAGUUCAUACAAAGUCUGUUUCCUUUCUAUAGUAGCUAUUGCUUCAGAUUGUGGUUUAAAAAUCCAAGAAGUGGGAAGAAUGUCUUUGUUUGUUUUCAUUGCUGCUUUCUUCCUUUUUUCUUUUCUAUCUUCCUUCCCUCCAUUUUCUUUCUUCCGUUCAUUUCUUUCUUUCUUUUUUUCUUUCUUAAUAAGAGGUUAACAGAAAUGGGUUAUUAAGGAAAUCAAAGUCUAGUAAAUGUUCAAAACAUGAGAUCAGAGUAGUCACAAACUCUUCUUUGUAGUGAUGUUAAAUUACUGACAAAUGUUUUUUGAAUACAGAAAAAGCCUUUUUUUUCUUUUUUUUUUGAGACGAAGUCUCCCUCUGUCGCCUAGGCUGGAGUGCAGUGGCGCGAUCUCGGUUCACUGCAACCUUUGCCUCCCAGGUUCAAGUGAUUCUCCUGCCUCAGCCUCCCGAGUACCUGGGAUUACAGGCACCUGCCACCGUGCCUGGCUAAUUUUUGUAUUUUUAGUAGAGACAGGGUUUCACUAUCUUGGCCAGGCUGAUCUUGAACUCCUGACCUCGUGAUCCACCCACCUUGGCCUCCCAAAGUGGUGAGAUUACAGGUGUGAGCCACCGUGCCCAGCCAAAAAUCCAAUUUCUUAUUUCAAUUUAUGUGUAUUUUUUUUUUUUUUUUUGAGAUGGAGUUUUGCUCUGUUGCCUCGGCUGGAGUGCAGUGGCACAAUCUUGGCUCACUGCAACCUCUGCCUCCUGGGUUCAAGCAAUUCUCGUGCCUCAGUCUCCUGAGUUGCUGGGAUUACAGGUGUGUGCCACCACGCCUGGCUAAUUUUUUUGUAUUUUUCGUAGAGACGGGAUUUCACCAUGUUGGCCAGGCUGGUCUCGAACUUCUGACCUCAAAUGAUCAUCCACCUUGGCCUCCCAAAGUGCUGGGAUUACAGGCGUGAGUCACCGUGCCUGGCCAUAUAUGUAUAUUUUUUCUCACAGCUGAGGCAAAGAUCAAUUUAUGUGUAUUUUAUUUUUAUUUAUUUAUUUAUUUAUUUGAAAUGGUCUCACUAUAUUGCUCAGGUUGGGGUGCAGUGGUACGGUCUCAGCUCACCGCAACCUCUGCCUCCUGGGCUGAAGCCAUCUUCUGAUUUUAGCCUUCCGAGUAGCUGGAAGGUGCAUGCCACCAUGCCCAGCUAAUUUUUGUAGUUUUUGUAGAGAUGGGGGUGUCACCAUGUUGUGUUGGCUGGUCUCAAACUCCUGAGCUCAAACAGUCCACCCACCUCAGCCUCCCAAAGUGCUAGGAUUACAAGCAUGUGCCACCACUCCCAGCCUGUAUUUUUAUUUAUUUAUUUGUUUGUUUGUUUGUUUGACGGAAUCUCACUCUGUUGCCAGGCUGGAGUGCAGUGGCACAAUCUUGGCUCACUGCAGCCUCUGCCUCCUGGUUCUAGUGAUUCUCCUCCCUCAGCCUCCCAAGUAGCUGGGACUACAGGCGUGCACCGCCAUGCCCAGCUAAUUUUUUGUAUUUUUAGUAGAGACCGGGUUUCUCCAUGUUGGCCAGGAUGGUCUCGAUCUCUUGACCUCAUGAUCUGCCUGUCUUGGCCUCCCAAAGUACUGGGAUUACAGGCGUGAGCCACCGUGCCCAGCAGUCUGUAUUUUAUUUUUGAAUAAUUAUGUGUUGUUUGGACAUAAGUAGUUACUAAAUUACUUUACCUAAUUAUGUAAUAAAUGGAAUCAUUAGGUAUUUCCUUUGCCGUAGGGUCCUGUGAACAAAUUACUAAGAUACUAAGGGUUCUGUGAAUGAGUUUAAGAUCCUCUAACUGUAGAUAUGAUCAGUGUUUAUCUAUAUUAUCAAUUUUUUUUAAGAACUUGAUUUUUAGUGGAUGUUUAUACUCUUAUAUGAAUAUGCAAUGCUUUACUGAACUCUCUCUGCUUGUUGAACAUUUAAGUUUUUCCUAAUAUUUUGAUAAUAUGUGUAAUACUAAUAGCUGUUGUUGUGUCUAAAUCUUGGUCCUUAAUAUCUAAUUCUUUCCUUAAAAUAGCGUCUUAUAAGUUAAUUUGCUGUGUCAAAGGGUAUUAGUUGUUUAAGGCUCUUAGUAUUUAUAACCUAAUUUUUUCAUAUAUAGUUUUCUCCACUACUACUAACAAUAUAUAAAAAGUGCCCCUCAUCUCAACCUCAGUGGCUGUGAAUGUUCUUUAUCACAAUUUGACAGUUGAAAUGGUUUCUGCUUUAGCAUGAUAGUAAUUAGAGCUGUUUCUCUAUGAUUUUCCUACAUCUGAGCUAAAGAUCUUACCAGUCUUACAAUUUACAUCUCUCUUAGCUCCUAGGACCUGUAGUUCAUGGUUGAGGUACCACCCCUCUUCCAACCUCACUAGUCUUUACCCAUUUUAUAGUUGGUAAUUAUUUUUGACUUACUAAAAAGCAGGAAGUUUAAGCUGGGCAUGGUGACUCACACUUGUAAUCCCAGCACUUUGGGAGGCCAAGGUGUGUGGAUUGCUUGAGUCCAGGAGUUCCAGACUAGCCUGUGCAACAAGGGGGAACCCUGUCUCUACAAAAAAUACAAAAAUUAUCCAGGCAUGGUGACAUGCACCUGUAGUCCCAGCUACUCAGGAGGCUGAGGUGGGAGAAACACCUGAGCCAGGGAAAGUUGAGGCUACAGUGAGCUGUGAUCGCACCACUGCACUCAAGAUUUGGCGACAGACUGAGACCCUGUCACCAAAACAAAACAAGACAGCAGCAAGUUUUCCUUGGAAUAUUUUAUAUUUAUCUAAUCUUGUCAUCCACAUUUUUCUACUUUUAUGUUAAAGAUAUGUUCUACAAUAUAAUUUACCAGGAAGUUUUCUAGUCAUCUUAAUUUCCUACUCUUAAUUUUUAUUGGAAGAAUGGGUGAUUUUUUUUUUCACAGAUAUAUAUAUAUUAUUCUGAAAAGUAGUGAAGAAUAAACAAAGUUUCAUGUUGUGUUUUGGUAUAGAAAUUGUUAAAAGCAUUUUAAAAAAUAUCAGGCCAGGCGUGGUGGCUCACCCCUGUAAUCCCAGCACUUUGGGAGGCUGAGGCGGGUGGAUCACGAGGUCAGGAGAUCGAGACCAUCCUGGCUAAGAUGGUGAAACCCUGUCUCUACUAAAAAUACAAAAAAAAUUAGCUGGACGUGGUGGUGGGCGCCUGUAGUCCCAGCUACUCGGGAGGCUGAGGCAGGAGAAUCACUUGAACCUGGGAGGCAGAGGUUGCAGUGAGCCAAGAUGACGCUACUGCACUCCAGCCUGGUGACAGAGUGAGACGCGUCUCAAAAAAAAAAAAAAAGUUUCAAACUACUGGAGAGAGGAGAGUGCAAAUCUAGCUGUCAUUUAACACUGGGAAGAACAGGCCAGGCGCGGUCGCUCACAGGUAAUCCUAGCAAUUUGGGAGGCCGAGGUGGGCGGAUCACCUGAGGUCAGGAGUUCGAGACCAGCCUGACCAAAUAUGGUGAAAACCCAUCUCUACUAAAAAUACAAAAGUUAGCUAGGCGUGGUGGCAGACGCCCUUAGUCCCAGUUACUUGGGAGGCUGAGACAGGAGAAUUGCUUGAACCUGGGAGGCAGAGGUUGCAGUGAGCUGAGAUUGCGCCACUGCACUCCAGCCUGGGUGACAGAGCGAGACUCCAUCUUAAAACAAACAAACAAACAAAAAAACUGGGAAGAACACAACUAUGCUGUUUAUCGUGUGUGGAUUUGUCAUUCUGGCUUUGUGCAACAGAAAAACCAAUAUUGUACAAAUAAGAUGUUUAUUUUCCUCUUGUAAUGAAAGGUCCAGAGAUGGGGCAUGCUGGGCUGGUGCAGUUGUGCCAGGAUAUUAACAAGUAUUCACCUCCUUUCCUCUGUCUGUUCAGUGGUUUUUGUACAUGUGGUCCCAAAUGAUUGUUAUGCCUCCAGGUAUUUCUUUCACAUUCUAGUCAGGAAGAAGGGGAAGAGGCAAAGGCUGAAAGGCAAAAGAGACUGUGCCAACCAAAUGGUAAGCAAAUGCCUUCUAUGGAUUAGAGGAACACAAGGGAAAACAGGUUGUGAAUGGCUCUGGGGAAGCCAGUCAGUAAUAGUCUCUGCCACAGUGUGGAACAAAGGGUUCAAUGAAAGGUGGGAAAGAAAUCUUUGAGUUAAUGUUAAGCAGUUAAAACCCACAUUCUUAAUGAUAAGUACAAUUUAUGAACUAUAACUGUCUCCCACACUGUGUAAAGACUUUUCAUAAUCAACCAAAACACAUUUUGUUGACUUUCAUGUCCAUGUAAGUAUAAAGACUUAACAUUUAGGAUAAUUUUUUUUAAGCAAAGCCUUAUAAUGCUGAUGUUGUCCUUAUCUUUUUAGAUAAGUGAUAGGAAAACACCACAGAGAAAUUUGGUAUUUAUAAUAGUGAAGAGAACAGAGUCAUAUUAGAUUUUACCUUUGCUCUAAGCCAAUUAGCCAAGCCUCCUUGUUUAGUUUACUGUCACAAAGACAUUUUCUUUUUCAGCAUUUGAAUAAACAGUAUUUUUUGGGGACUAAAUGAUUUGAAUAAUGUUUAUUCCCUCUUAACAAACUACUCAUAUUUUCCGUUCUCGGGGAAGGAUUUUUGCUCCUGAUUCCUAGUAAAUAUACAUACAAAGGAAAAACAAACUGUGAUGUACCAAAAUCUUUUGAAAACCUAUUUCAAAUCUCAGCUAAUAAAUACUGUCUAGCAGUGGGAUUCUGGUAGUUAAAUAAUCUCUCUGUAUCUCAGUUUCCCCAUCUGUAAGAUCUGUUGGAUGACAAAAUACUCCUCACUGAUUGUUGCGAGGAGUAAUUGAGUCAAAAUGUAUAAAAGUCUCCAGCAAAGCAUUAGUUUAUUUAUUCGCUAAAUCUGUAUAGAGGGGUUUCAAUGAUAAAUUUCCCUGAAGGUUAAGUUAGUAAAUAAAAAGGGUAGAUAUUGAGUAAAAAUUAUAGUCAGUUUUUUGAGAGUGAGGAUUAAUCUGGUUAGAUUCAGCAGGAAGAUAGAAUUUUAUCCACAUCUGUAAUGAAUUGUUAUAAAAAAGUAUUCGCCAUGAAUGUCCAUCCCUCGCCUGUCGCGGCGGGUGGAUCACCUGAGGUCAGGAGUUCGAGACCAGCCUGGCAACAUGGCAAAACCCCGUCUCUACUAAAAAUACCAAAAUUAGCCGGGCGUGGUGGCACGCGUCUGUAAUCCCAGCUACUCGGGAGGCUGAGGCAAGAGAAUCACUUGAACCUGAGAGGCGGAGGUUGCAGUGAGCUGAGAUUGUGCCACUGCAGUGAGCCGAGAUUGUGCCACUGCACUCCAGCCUGGGUGACAGAGCAAGACAACAACAAAAAAAGUUUAUUAUAUUAGGAAAGAAAAAUUGGUUUGAUGAUGGGCUCUUUUACUUUAGCCUUGAAAAUAAAGAAAAAAGGUAAAGGAGAAGACCUUAUCUUUUCUCAAAUUAAAUUAAAAAAAUAAAUAAAGGGCCAGGCGCGGUGGCUCACGCCUGUAAUCUCAGCACUUUGGGAGGCCGAGGUGGGUGGAUCACAAGGUCAAGAGAUCGAGACCAUCCUGGCCAACAUGGUGAAACCCUGUCUCUACUAAACAUACAAAAAUUAGCUGGACAUAGUGGCACGUGCCUAUAGUCCCAGCUACUUGGGAGGGUGAGUCAGGAGAAUUGCUUGAACCCGGGAGGCAGAGGUUGCAGUGAGCUGAGAUCAUGCCACUGCACUCCAGCCUGGCAACAGAAUGGGACUCCGUCUCAAAAAAAAAAAAAGUUUAAGAAAAAAUUAGAAAACAUGCUGGGUGGCUGGGCUUGGUGGCUUAUGCCUGUAAUCCCAGCACUUUGGGAGGUUGAGGUGGGAGGAUUGCUUGAGGCCAGGAGUUCAAGAUCAGCCUAGACAACAUAGCGAGACCCUAUCUCUAAAAAUAAUAAUAGUAAUUAUUAUUAUUUAAAAAACCAAGCUGGGCACAGUGUGUGUGCCUGCAGUCUCAGCUACUCAGAAGGCUGAGGCAGGAGGAUCGCUUGAACCCAGGAGUUUGAAUUCAGCCUGGGCGACAUAGUGAGACCUUGUCUCUAUAAAAAAAAGAAAAAUUAGGAAACAAAGAUAAGCAAAAAGAAGUAAAGUUAUUCAUAGAUAACCAUUAUGAAUGGUGUGGUAUGUUUUUCUACACUUCUUUCUCAGGAAAUACCUACUUUUCUCCAAAAUGCAAUCAUAUUCUACAUACUUUUUAGUAGCCUGUAUUUUACAUUUUACAAUAUAUAAUGAAUAUUUUUCCAUUUUACUAAACCUUCUUUUCCAAUAGUUGUGUUCUGUCCUUUUUUCCUAAAGAAAAUCUAUACCAUUUACAUCUACAACCCUUCCAUCAAUAAUAUCUUUAAUUAUAUGCAGUUAUUCUUGUGAGUAUGGGUAAAAAUCUGCUUUCUGACCUUCUUUCCUCCCAAAAUCACUGUUCUACAUUUUUCUUUUCUUUUACUUUUAAAAUUUGAUUCUAUUUUUCUUUUUUUCCAUGACAGAUCAGAACCAGUGU